AAAAUGGAAAGUGAAUCAAGCAAAAUCUUUAAUCUCAAUAAUGAUGUCCAAAAUGAAGGCGUUCCUUAUGGCUAUCAUUCUCUUGGUGUUCACUCUUCUUACUUUCACAGCUCCAGCUUCAGCUCGAUCUCUAGCUAUCCAAAAUAAGAUCAAAUUGAUUUAUACCAAAAUUCUUCUUAAUAACCACAACAUAUGUUGAUAAAAAAGAAAAAAGUAGCUAUCCGUUGCCAAAGCCAACGCCGAGUCACAGGUGUUCUAGGGUUCGUGGUAAGCGUGUUUGCGUGGGAUAUUGAUAUGAAUAAGGCCAAGUUGCUUCCCCUUUAUCUUGUUCUUCAGGCUUCGAUUAUAUUAUAUAAAAGAUGGCUUCGAAUCGUGUGUAUUUGCACUUUGCACUUUGGAAAUUGGAAUUGGAAUUUGUUGUUUGAUGCGAGUGUUUAGAAAAUAAAACAUUUUUGUUUGGAUAA
Long non-coding RNA from Gossypium arboreum, 464 nucleotides. RefSeq lists it as uncharacterized. The record is from RefSeq and is a predicted model, not a curated record. The transcript is spliced from 2 exons. Lineage: Eukaryota; Viridiplantae; Streptophyta; Magnoliopsida; Malvales; Malvaceae.